This 240-nucleotide unclassified non-coding RNA is filed under the name soil metagenome. Its description in RNAcentral is "partial contains 5.8S ribosomal RNA, internal transcribed spacer 2, and large subunit ribosomal RNA". The record is from RNAcentral.
AACGAGGCCGACCUGCGGCUGAGUUACCUGCGGAGGGAUCAUUACACAAUACAAUAUGAAGGCUGUCCGCAGCUGGAGUAUUUUAUUACCCUUGUCUUUUGCGCACUUGUUGUUUCCUGGGCGGGUUCGCUCGCCACCAGGACCACCAAAUAAACCUUUUUUAUGCAGUUGCAAUCAGCGUCAGUACAAACAAUGUAAAUCAUUUACAACUUUCAGCAAUGGAUCUCAGAUCGGAAGAGC